This 456-nucleotide ribosomal RNA is filed under the name uncultured bacterium. RNAcentral describes it as "bacterial SSU rRNA". It matches the Rfam family "Bacterial small subunit ribosomal RNA", at positions 29 to 524 of the family's 1533-position model. The record is from RNAcentral.
AACGAACGCUGGCGGCAGGCUUAACACAUGCAAGUCGAACGCUCGUAGCAAUACGGGAGUGGCGGACGGGUGAGUAACGCGUGGGAACGUGCCCUGAGGUACGGAAUAACUGAGGGAAACUUCAGCUAAUACCGUAUGAGCCCCGAGAGGGGGAAAGAUUUAUCGCCUUGGGAGCGGCCCGCGUCGGAUUAGCUAGUUGGUGGGGUAACGGCCUACCAAGGCUUCGAUCCGUAGCUGGUCUGAGAGGACGAUCAGCCACACUGGGACUGAGACACGGCCCAGACUCCUACGGGAGGCAGCAGUGGGGAAUCUUGCGCAAUGGGGGGCAACCCUGACGCAGCCAUGCCGCGUGAACGAUGAAGGCCUUAGGGUUGUAAAGUUCUUUUACCCGUGACGAUGAUGACGGUAACGGGGGAAUAAGCUCCGGCUAAACUUCGUGCCAGCAGCCGCGGUAAU